Molecule: ribosomal RNA, 495 nt
Filed under: uncultured bacterium
Lineage: Bacteria
Description: partial 16S ribosomal RNA
Rfam family: Bacterial small subunit ribosomal RNA
Source: RNAcentral
GACGAACGCUGGCGGCGUGCCUAAUACAUGCAAGUAGAACGCUGAAGGAGGAGCUUGCUUCUCUGGAUGAGUUGCGAACGGGUGAGUAACGCGUAGGUAACCUGCCUGGUAGCGGGGGAUAACUAUUGGAAACGAUAGCUAAUACCGCAUAAGAGUAGAUGUUGCAUGACAUUUACUUAAAAGGUGCAAUUGCAUCACUACCAGAUAGACCUGCGUUGUAUUAGCUAGUUGGUGAGGUAACGGCUCACCAAGGCAACGAUACAUAGCCGACCUGAGAGGGUGAGCGGCCACACUGGGAAUGAGACACGGCCCAGACUCCUACGGGAGGCAGCAGUAGGGAAUCUUCGGCAAUGGACGGAAGUCUGACCGGGAGACGCCGCGUGAGUGAAGAAGGUUUUCGGAUCGUAAAGCUCUGUUGUAAGAGAAGAACGAGUGUGAGAGUGGAAAGUUCACAAUGUGACGGUAUCUUACCAGAAAGGGACGGCUAACUACGUG